Molecule: ribosomal RNA, 1370 nt
Filed under: uncultured bacterium
Lineage: Bacteria
Description: bacterial SSU rRNA
Rfam family: Bacterial small subunit ribosomal RNA
Source: RNAcentral
GAUGAACGCUGGCGGCGUGCCUAAUACAUGCAAGUCGAGCGAACGGACGAGAAGCUUGCUUCUCUGAUGUUAGCGGCGGACGGGUGAGUAACACGUGGAUAACCUACCUAUAAGACUGGGAUAACUUCGGGAAACCGGAGCUAAUACCGGAUAAUAUUUUGAACCGCAUGGUUCAAAAGUGAAAGACGGUCUUGCUGUCACUUAUAGAUGGAUCCGCGCUGCAUUAGCUAGUUGGUAAGGUAACGGCUUACCAAGGCAACGAUGCAUAGCCGACCUGAGAGGGUGAUCGGCCACACUGGAACUGAGACACGGUCCAGACUCCUACGGGAGGCAGCAGUAGGGAAUCUUCCGCAAUGGGCGAAAGCCUGACGGAAGCACGCCGCGUGAGUGAUGAAGGUCUUCGGAUCGUAAAACUCUGUUAUUANGGAAGAACAUAUGUGUAAGUAACUGUGCACAUCUUGACGGUACCCUAUCAGAAAGCCACGGCUAACUACGUGCCAGCAGCCGCGGUAAUACGUAGGUGGCAAGCGUUAUCCGGAAUUAUUGGGCGUAAAGCGCGCGUAGCGGUUUUUUAGUCUGAUGUGAAAGCCCACGGCUCAACCGUGGAGGGUCAUUGGAAACUGGAAAACUUGAGUGCAGAAGAGGAAAGUGGAAUUCCAUGUGUAGCGGUGAAAUGCGCAGAGAUAUGGAGGAACACCAGUGGCGAAGGCGACUUUCUGGUCUGUAACUGACGCUGAUGUGCGAAAGCGUGGGGAUCAAACAGGAUUAGAUACCCUGGUAGUCCACGCCGUAAACGAUGAGUGCUAAGUGUUAGGGGGUUUCCGCCCCUUAGUGCUGCAGCUAACGCAUUAAGCACUCCGCCUGGGGAGUACGACCGCAAGGUUGAAACUCAAAGGAAUUGACGGGGACCCGCACAAGCGGUGGAGCAUGUGGUUUAAUUCGAAGCAACGCGAAGAACCUUACCAAAUCUUGACAUCCUUUGACAACUCUAGAGAUAGAGCCUUCCCCUUCGGGGGACAAAGUGACAGGUGGUGCAUGGUUGUCGUCAGCUCGUGUCGUGAGAUGUUGGGUUAAGUCCCGCAACGAGCGCAACCCUUAAGCUUAGUUGCCAUCAUUAAGUUGGGCACUCUAAGUUGACUGCCGGUGACAAACCGGAGGAAGGUGGGGAUGACGUCAAAUCAUCAUGCCCCUUAUGAUUUGGGCUACACACGUGCUACAAUGGACAAUACAAAGGGCAGCGAAACCGCGAGGUCAAGCAAAUCCCAUAAAGUUGUUCUCAGUUCGGAUUGUAGUCUGCAACUCGACUACAUGAAGCUGGAAUCGCUAGUAAUCGUAGAUCAGCAUGCUACGGUGAAUACGUUCCCGGGUCU